CCUCCUUUCUCUGCAACGAGCGAGAGAGGGAGAGGGGGGAAAAAAGCCACUUACAGGGACUGAUGUGCAACUAAUUAAAGGCAGACAGGCUGGUAGCGUCUGCACGCUCAAGCCCCCCCAAAUAAAGAGCCUGAGAACACCUGUUCCCAGCGCUGAAGCAUUCCGAUGGUUCUUUUAAGCAGUAGUGUAUCUUAUUUUCAAGGCAGUCCGAAGUGAAUGGCAAGCUAAAGUCUUGUUUUAAGAAACUGCUUAGUCCACCAUUGAAGAAUAUACUCAGAUACUAUUUUCAUUUAUGUAUAGGGGUUUCCUCAAAAGCAAAAGACAAAAAUCUGGGAGCCUGGGGAAUUGGCCAGCUUCUUCACAUUCAGUACACUGAUUCUUUCUUUGAUGUAACUUAGCGAUACUAGUGAAGUUGUUGUCUAUUUUUAAAGUGGCUGUAAAAACAACAAAAAAAAAAAGUUUGGGUAAACCCCUGCUAUAAAGUCAUGUAUCUUUGAAAAGUAACAUAUCUAUACUUCAUUUUCAAAUAUAUGUGUUUCAGUACUGUAAACUGUACAGAUAGCCGCUUGUAUUUUGUGUGUUUAGACACAAGGAGACAAUCAUGUCUGAGCAUCUAUGGAGAUUAACGGUUUGUACACAACGGUGUGGUUCUGCGAGUUAAAUCCGGAGCAAUAAAUUCUAGCUUUAACUAUUAUUUUGCUAGUUGUUUAGCAACAGCAGCAACAGCAGCACUGUUUUACCAUGCAUCCUUCCAUAGAGACUUGAUGCCAAGUUUUCCAAGAUAAAAAGAUCGUGACGCAUCUAGCAAUUACCUUCCGUCGUGGUGGUGUGAGAGGGGAAGACAUAACAUUUAAGAUUAAUCUUUCAAGCACUAUAUUAGAGUAGUGGUUUGUGCACUUGCAUUGCUUCCAAAGGAGCUUUACAGAGGGGUAUCUCUCCAAAAAUGCUGUCUGGUGUCUGACUUGCUUUUCACUGUGCUCUGAGGUGGAGUGCCCAGCAUAGGCGGAUGUGCAAAACCAGUCGUCUAUAUAAAGGUUGUUCUAGAAUGCAAAACAAAGUGAGUACAAGACCUUAGAAAAAAUGACGACUCAGCCUAAUUACCCUUCACCUAUGAGUUCUUAUGUAACAUUUUCAGUCAAUGGAGUAAAUAUUUUAUGAAGUGGAAUGCCAUAUUUUUGGUCCAAGUGGAGCGCUUCACAGUUAAGUGAGUUUUGACAGUUGGACUGGUUUGGGUCUCACUUGCACUUGUGUUCAUUUGAGAGCCUGGAUAUUUUUGUGGUAUAAAAAUGAACUUUUUCUUUAAAAUGUUUAAAAAAAGGCCGCUUCUCCCCACACGUUUCUUGGUCCACCGAUCUCGGCUUUGCUGAACGGCUGGUCCCUUAGGCCCCCAGAAGAAUGCCCCGCCGUUCUUCUUCCUGCUCUAGCCGCGUGGAGGAAAUGUCUGCUCCUCAAAAAGGCAGCGCACGGAGGGAUAUAACUCACAUGUCAUAAAAAAAUAUGGAGGAUACUGAACUUAGGGAUACUUAUUAUCAGUAGAUCAUCACUUUUUAUUGCUUGGCUUCGUCAUACCACUCAUGAGUGAGAAGGCCAUCCCAUCAAAGUAAGCCAACGCUGUUGUGCCAUGUAUUUGAUAGAUUUAUCAUUUUGUACAAGAUAGGACUACCAGUAGUUUCACAGACAAGGUGCUGGGCGUGGGAAUAACCAGUUAAGGAUGCACAGCACAUUCAAAUCUCCUAUUGUUUCAGCACUUUCUCUGUUUUUUGCUAAGUACUUCAGCCUUUGGCCCCUGGUCACUCUCACUUGGUGAAGCACAGGGGAUGGUUGGGAACACUGCGGUGUGAGACCUGUGCAGGCGGGGGAGAUGCCGGCUUUGGCAGGGGAGGGAGCUCGCAGGACUGGUGGGUGUUGAGAAUGGCCCAGAAAGCAAAGACUGAGGGAUGGAGGAGGAGAAACCUCCUGAGGUCACACGUGUGUGUCAGCAGGGCUGGGCAGAGCGUGGGUGACCUGGGGUAACUGGAGGAGUGUGGCGGGCGGGCUGGGCUUACACCUGCGUCCUCAACUUAGGGUCAAUGCACGUGUCUAUGUCUUUGCGUCGUAUGACGUCACAUACAUGGCUUCAGAGAUGGAAUGUCAUACCUGAAAUGCUUCUAUCAUGGUCCCCCUCUUGCAGUUUGUAAGAGAUCCUCAGUUGAAUAUUCAUCCAAUACCCAUUCAAUGAGCUUUACGUCUGUUUGUAUGGCAGCCGUGUAUGGAUUUUUUUUGUGUUGGAGACUUUUUGGUUAGGGCCUCUGUUACUGACCACUAGACCAAUACGAGCUCUGUAAGGUCUUCUCUAUCAAAACGCUGAUUGAUUUACAAACUGAAGCCUUAUUUGCACAUCUGGCUUGCCUUGCUUUUUAGAAAACUGUGAUUGCUCUUACAGAAGCAGAGGCAAAAUUAAGUUCAGGCUACAUUAGGUGUACAAAGAUAUUCAUAGCAAUGUACUUCCUGUCUAAUACCCUAAUGUUGCAUGUCUUAAUGUGGUUUCUUUUUUUGUUUUGUCAUUUUGUUUUAAAGAACUGAUGGAUCUGUAUAUUGUAAUUGUGGUGUUUUACAUGUCAAUUCAAAAUUGUUAAAACAAACAAACAAGCAAACCUGUUAAUUAUUGAAAAUGAACAAGAGUUGAUUUUUCUUCGAUUUACCCGUAUGGUUUUCAUUUCAGAUGUUGUUCCUUUGCACCAUCAGAUUUUUAGCUUUUGCUGAAACAGUAUUUAUAUGAUGUAGUGCGCAUAGACCAUUUUAAUUAGUGAUGUUUGAAGAAGGAAAUCCCUUUUCUGGCCUGUCUCUCUCCACCACAGCCCUACACCCCACCCCCCCCCCCCCCCCCCGCUUUUAUACACAUUUGUCAAUCGGAUUAUUGUCAAGUUCUAAUAACCAAAUUUGUGCUUUUCACAAGGUCCAAUACCAUUUUCCAGUGUGAAAAGUUGUAUUCCUCUCUGUCUUUCAUUCUCACGAUGCAAAAAAAAAAGGGGGGGGGGUGGCAAAAAAAAAGCAGAACGUACUUUUGCCAUCUUCUAAGUGUGAGCACUAAGCCUAAUAGAAGCAUUUUUGGCACACCCCAGAUAAACUUAUGAAAAAAGGUAAGGCUGAAAGGGAGGCACACAUACUCAUUCUGUCAAUUAAUAACAGACCCUCCCUAUGAGGGAAAAUACUCCCUUUUGUACAGAACCCCUGGUAUGUAAGUCCUACAAUUAAUGUUAAAGAAUAUAAAGUCUUUAAAUGGGCUAUAUCUGUAAUCAAAUAAUGAAGAAAGAAAGUAGUUAAAUGAACAUACCAUUCAGGGUCGAAUGCAUUCAGCAAAAAGCAGUAGUGGGCCUUUGAUCAUGGUUAGAUGCAUAGUGAUAUCAAACAGUGGGUUCUCAUGUAACAGCUAAAUGUUUCAGAUUUUGUUUUUAUUAAAUUUGGCAGUUUCAUGCUGAGCUCUACUGUAUUCUUAGUGAAUAAAAGACAGCUCCUAUGUUAGAAAGUACUCCAUUUUCACAAUUGCAGGGAACUAGGAGGGUUUUUUCAGAAACACGGGCCACAGAAAUGUACUCCUUUCACAGUGUUCUCCUAUUUCUGAACUGUGCAGUUAUCUAUUAAAUUUUCUAAUAGAUAUUUGUGUAAGGUGUAUGUAUGCUUGUGCAAUUAUGGAAAAAAACAGUUUUGGAAAACAGUGUAUUUAUGAAAAAAAUAAUCACUUAUGGGGCAUGUACAAAACUGUAUAAAAACAUUCAAUUUGCCCAGUAAAGUUGUUUUUGUGAUAUUUCUGUGUUGUUGAAUAAAGGACUUUAGUAUUCAAAAUAUCUCUCUUUUUCCAUAAACAGGUUUUGUUUGUGGGAUCUUAAACAAAGAAAACCUCUUUUAAAAAAGAAUCCUCAAAAUGAGCGAGAAGGUCCAAAUGCUGACCUCAGUCUUGUGUAUGGGAAUGAAUGCUUAUGAAGUGGCAGUACAAUAGCUACAAAACUGAUUCCUUCUCAAUUGGCAAUCGAUGGAAACCCCAUAAGUUGUAUGCCUGAAGGUAACAUUGUACUCUGAAUUUUUUAAAAUAGCAGAAAAAAAUACUGCCUUUUUAAAGACUAGGAAUGUUACGUUGAGCUUUUGAGGCUACGAAAAGGUUAAUGAAGUAGGAGCAAGACAGAUUGCAGAAAAGCGUUCAACCCUUUAAUGCAGACCUCUGUUGUAUAAAAAGAGUGGACUAGCGAGGGUGAUGUGAUAAAUUAGCAGUUAGCUUCGUGGGGAAAAGCAUACAAAGGUGAAAUCUCAUCUGUAACUCUUGCAACAAACAAUAGUCCUGAGAUUCGAUCAUCCUGUUGCUGUUGGAGUAUUUGGGUUUACGAAUAGGAUUUGUGAGAGAAUGACAAUAAUGUCUUCCGUUUUGUUUUACUGCUGCUCAGUUCAAAGUUCUGCUCUUUACCUGCCUCAUGAACUAUACAUAGCAAAGGAAACGGUUUCCUUUUGCUAUUUUAUUUCCCCAUACUACUUGCCGACAUUACAGCAACUUCGGAUAGGUGGGAAAGUUCGUGACUGUGCUGGCAGCACAUCACCUGAUUUUGGUGAAAUUUGGAACGUCAUUUUUCUGCGAAUAUUCCUUUAAUAAACAGAAUGUCUGCUCUUAGGUGCCCAAACAGGAUUUGAAAGGGUUUGAAACACGAGAUAGGUCCUUUGGUCUGUGAGAUUCCUUCAGUGCCAACUGAUUUUCCAGGGGGAGCCUCAGUGUAUCCUUCUGUUUUUUAAAGAAAGAAACAGAAGUGAAAGGAAUAGAAGUGGAUUUUCCACUGAUCCUGUCUGCUCUUAUCGAAAUCCAUAAGGAUAUAUGUUCUUGGGAGAUGUAGACCACUCAUUAGACAAUGCCAAGAGUGAAUCUUGAGGUCUGUUUGAAGAGGAGGAAAAGGGCUGCCAGGUUGCUCAGGCAUAGUCAGUGAUCUCUCUGGAUUAAAUAUAGAAUUCACAGGGAGGAAAUACACUCAUUUCAUGAGAUGGUCGAUUUGGAAGCGGGAAGAGGUCUCUGAGUUCCUAUUCCUUUAAUGCUUUCUCUUUCAACUUUUUUUCCCCUCGAGUAUUGUUUUAUACUAGUCUGAAUGAAAAACGUCCCUCAGUUCCAGAGAAAUACUCACCCCAGAUAUGAACCUUUCAGCUUAAAACUACCUCUAGCUUUUUCUAGCUUUUAUUUUUUAAUUAAAAAAAAAAUCUAAAAAAAAACCCCAGACAACAAGCAGGUAAUUCUUCAAAGCCAAAACUGACAAAGUCAUUACUGAGCCUAUUAAAAGGAAGGAAAAUACCCUUUUGUGUGGAAGCUCAAUUCUUCUAGGCUGUGUUGGACUCAAUUUGGUUUUGCCGCUAGCCAUUUCAGUGCUCUCUCAUAUUUUUCCAAGGAACAAGUCUGAAAUUAUGAACGGUCUAGUGAUACGGGGCAACAUGCCUUCUGGGAGGCUCAAGUCCUCCACAGAUUCCCAUGGGCUUUACUAGAUAGCUCAUGAAAUUGGAAGAUAUUAUAUAGGUGACUUAGUUAUAAGUUCUACCUUACUUCGCUGUAAGGACCUACUCGGUCAUCAGUGCACAAUGUGCAUGGAUAGAUGGCCCCAAAAUCUAUAAAGGUAAGAAAUACAUUUCUCGGUAAUAACUGGAGAACAUACAAUAAAGUUUGAGACCGCUGGAACUAUCUGAGGAAAGAAAGGUGAACAUCAGCAAAGAUGUCAGGAUUCCACCGUACCUUUGUUUCUGUUUGCCAUUUGGUUUUUGGGAUGGACACGCUCGGCUGGGUAGCUGGGUCUUUCAGCAAGGCAGUUUUGCCUAAGAUAGGCAGAAUGAAGGAUAGCGCGUAGCAAAUUGUAAUCUUGCAAGACAAGGAUCUAGACUGCCGAAAGUAGCUGCAAUGUUCGGGAAGUAUUUCCAUUGGUCUUCUAAUUUUUCAAAUGGUAUUUAAAGGAUUGUCACGUUAUUCUCAAUUUAAUAAGCAGGAAUAGUUUGUUGUGCUACUGCCCGUUCCCUGAAAAAGGGGUUUUAGAAAUUAGCCUUAAUGGGUUAAUUUCCCAAUAAACUUUGAGAGUACUUCUUAGUCUAAUACGCCUUCCCCAUAAGAGAAAAUGCUGUAAUUGUGGGUUCAUUGGCCUGUAUAAGGCCCCUUUGACUUACAGAGUCAAGGAUCUUUGCUAGAAAAUAAUUCAGCAGAAUUCUUGUAGAAAGAUUUGCAGGUGUCAUGAUGUCAGCCAGAGCCUGGAUUAAUUAUUCAGUGCAGUUCUCCCCAGCUUGGUUUAUGAUGUGUAUAAGCAUCCUACAUUUGAGAAGAAAACACCUUUCUUCCCUUACUGCCUUAAAUCUGCUCUCUUUACAGAGUUAAUAACACUAACCCUCUGCACUUCUUCAGGAAAACCCAAAACAUUAGGAGAAAUACAUCUCCUUUUGGCUAGACAUUUUCCUUUUGAAAUUGAGAGAGAAGAGUUAGCCCAGGUCAGAAACCCCUGUUGCUUGCCCCAGUCUCCUAACACAGGUAUUCUCUGCGUCGGAUGUAGCUUGUGAGCAAAGUCCAUAACGUCAGCUUGGCAAUCAGACACAACCCUACGGGAGAUCAACACCAAAGCAAACACGACCCAGCGGGGGACGUUCCCACCGCCGCCUCCCCGGUACCUGCGACACGCACAAGUUUGUGCCAGAUUGUCCGACACCCCGUGCUCUCCCAGGGGAUCAGGUUUGCUGUGCCCAGGAGAGAGGUGCCCCUCCCCAGAUCUGAUGAGCAGGUAGCAUGCUGGAGAGUUUUUAAGAGGAGAGAAGGUUUGCACGUCCAGAGAGUGACUAGAAUAUCUCGACUCACGUGUGUCGCGUUAGCUUCUGAUUUCUAGCCGUGAGUGUCUGAGGCCACCAGGCUUUAGGAGAAGUAGCUGGACUGUUGAGUAUACCUAGUCUCUUAUGUGCCUACAUUUUAAUAUUCAUACCUAGAGAUCAAUAGUGAAUUUGACCAGCGGAUGUGUUGACCGAGAAUGUACUGUUUAAUGCAAAUUUAUAACAACUGGCUUUCAGCCUGGUUUUGGAGAAUUAGUGGGCAAAUAACCUGAUCUAAAGAAAUCUGUCACCCACAUUAGGAACUGUGAACUAAUUAUUGCUUUCUGAUAUUCUGCUCUUACUUGUUUUGCCUUUUUAUCCUGAUUGUUUGCAUUCCUAGGACCGAUUUGCCUUUUUGAUGCAAUGCCAUGUGAUCUGCUGAUUAAUUUUUGUGAGCAAUCAUAAACUCCAACCUAUGGCUGACUCGGUAUAUUUUUAUGCUACGCUCCAUAAACAUUCAUUCAUUUCUUAUGAUUACUGUGUGGAAACAGACUUUUACAGGCUAAUAAACUUGGAUUUGAACUGGA
Molecule: RNA transcript, 7364 nt
Organism: Aquila chrysaetos chrysaetos
Lineage: Eukaryota; Metazoa; Chordata; Aves; Accipitriformes; Accipitridae
Exons: 3
Source: RefSeq, a predicted model, not a curated record